RNAcentral lists this transfer RNA (54 nucleotides) under Teladorsagia circumcincta. Its description in RNAcentral is "tRNA-Val". The record is from RNAcentral. Lineage: Eukaryota; Metazoa; Nematoda; Chromadorea; Rhabditida; Trichostrongylidae.
AAUUUUUAGUUUAAUAUGAAUAUAUUACUUACAAUAAUAAGGUAAAAAAUUCUA